GCCUGGGUGGCUCAGUUGGUUGAGUGUCUGACUUCAGCUCAGGUCAUGAUCUCGUGGUCUGUGAGUUCGAGCCCCACAUCGGGCU
RNAcentral lists this transfer RNA (85 nucleotides) under Felis catus (domestic cat). It matches the Rfam family "tRNA". Rfam says of the family: Transfer RNA (tRNA) molecules are approximately 80 nucleotides in length. The record is from Rfam by way of RNAcentral. Lineage: Eukaryota; Metazoa; Chordata; Mammalia; Carnivora; Felidae.